This 258-nucleotide long non-coding RNA is filed under the name Elaeis guineensis (African oil palm). Its description in RNAcentral is "long non-coding RNA (EGUI_LNC080901)". The record is from RNAcentral. Lineage: Eukaryota; Viridiplantae; Streptophyta; Magnoliopsida; Arecales; Arecaceae.
UAGUGCAUCAAACAUCUUUUUCAUUUUCUGAAUCCAUGUCUCUAUAACCAAAGGGUCAAGUCCAUCCUCAAAUAGUAAUGGGUUAAACCUUCUAAACCUCUCGUAAUAUCACUCUAAAGAUAGUGUAGGUCGAAGAGUAGCUUGUAUUUGCUAUUAUUGUUGAAUUAGCUGAGCCACCACUUGGCAUACUCCAGCAAUAUCUGUUCAAAUGGUUAAUGCAUUAGGAGCCUGCCCAAUCAAUUGGUUGGCAUCUCCUCU